This 247-nucleotide ribosomal RNA is filed under the name uncultured bacterium. RNAcentral describes it as "partial 16S ribosomal RNA". It matches the Rfam family "Bacterial small subunit ribosomal RNA", at positions 15 to 245 of the family's 1533-position model. The record is from RNAcentral.
GAUCCUGGCUCAGGAUGAACGCUAGCUACAGGCUUAACACAUGCAAGUCGAGGGGCAGCGGGAUUGAAGCUUGCUUCAAUUGCCGGCGACCGGCGCACGGGUGAGUAACGCGUAUCCAACCUUCCGCUUACUCGGGGGAUAGCCUUUCGAAAGAAAGAUUAAUACCCGAUGGUAUCUUAGCACGCAUGAGAUUAAGUAUUAAAGUAAUUUAUUCGGUUAAGGACGAUGGGGAGUGCGUUCCAUUAGG